Long non-coding RNA from Daphnia pulicaria, 943 nucleotides. RefSeq lists it as uncharacterized. The transcript has 2 exons. The record is from RefSeq and is a predicted model, not a curated record. Lineage: Eukaryota; Metazoa; Arthropoda; Branchiopoda; Diplostraca; Daphniidae.
ACAUGGCGGAUGACUGAGAGUCACGUUGAAAUGGUUGAAUGCUGAAUUAAGUUAAAUAUUUCGACUUUCGAGAUGUUCUCAUAGUUGAUGUGUGAUUUAGUGUAACAGAAAUGUUAACUGUUGGUGUGCUAACGCUUAAGAUUUUGUGCUGUGCUACUGAGAGUGACGUCAUUACUUAGAAUGUUGUGGAAUGGAUGGCAUGAUAGAAAUUCUUGCAGGGGUUUUCAGUGCCCCACUGCUAGAUACAUUACAUUCAGUGGCAUUCACUCUAUACUUGCUGCUACUGUAAUAGCUAGCACGUGAUGGUUACGUUUCUUCGCAUCUACGUUUCUCACGUGCAAAAGCGAGGGCGGGAAUUUAAAAGUUUAUCGCCGGUAGCUAUCGUAAAGAACACGCGUUGGAUUUUCUCGUGUUGUUACCAUAGUGCACUGAAAAUAAAUGACAAUGUGCAGAGCUCUGACGAAAUAUUGUAACUGAGUUAUUUAACGUGGGAAAAAGUUUGAACGGUUAUUAACGUGAAUAUAGAAAACGAAAAUCAAUGUGUUUUAAUUUUGGUAUACUGUAAUUCGACUAUGACUAACAUCCCUAAUAUCCACUAUCGUGAACUAUCAACAGGCGUGUGCCCAAGCAGUUAAGCGUGACAAGGUUAUACAAUUUGACUUCGCUGAUUGCUGCCAGCAUCAGAAUUUUGUCGCCGUCGUCUAAUCAUCUAAACAACUUUACACGGAAGAUUCGACAAGACUAUGCGACUUGAUGCGUCCAUUUCGUGAAAUAGGCGGAAAAAAAUGUUACCCUAACACCAUGGCUAUAGUGAUACAAAAACCAGCAAUAUUGCCAAAAUAAAUUUGAAAAAUUAUUUCAAUCGAAAUCAACAAGAAAUCUAUAUACCUCAAUGAUUCUCUAUUUCUGUAACGAUGGGCAAAUACUAAUACAAGGCUUAUUU